RNAcentral lists this unclassified non-coding RNA (177 nucleotides) under soil metagenome. RNAcentral describes it as "partial internal transcribed spacer 1". The record is from RNAcentral.
CCGAGUUUACAACUCCCAAGCCCAUGUGAACAUUACCAACUGUUGCCUCGGCGGAUCUCUGCCCCGGUGCGUCCAACCCGGACCAGGCCCGCCAGAGGACCACCUAAACUCUUUGUAUACUCCUCCGGUUUUAUAUCUACCUUCUCGCGCCUCUCGUAAGCGUUCAUAAAUAAAUCA